GCCAGACUCCUACGGGAGGCAGCAGUGGGGGAUAUUGCACAAUGGGGGGAACCCUGAUGCAGCGACGCCGCGUGGGUGAAGGAGCGUUUCGGCGCGUAAAGCCCUAUCGGCAGGGAAGAAACAGACGGUACCUGACUAAGAAGCCCCGGCUAACUACGUGCCAGCAGCCGCGGUAAUACGUAGGGGGCCAGCGUUAUCCGGAUUUACUGGGGGUAAAGGGGGCGCAGACGGCGAUGCAAGCCAGGAGUGAAAGCCCGGGGCCCAACCCCGGGACUGCUCUUGGAACUGCGUGGCUGGAGUGCAGGAGGGGCAGGCGGAAUUCCUGGUGUAGCGGUGAAAUGCGUAGAUAUCGGGAGGAACACCAGUGGCGAAGGCGGCCUACUGGGCUUUAACUGACGCUGAGGCACGAAAGCGUGGGUAGCAAACAGGAUUAGAUACCCGUGUAUA
RNAcentral lists this ribosomal RNA (447 nucleotides) under uncultured bacterium. RNAcentral's name for it is "partial 16S ribosomal RNA". It matches the Rfam family "Bacterial small subunit ribosomal RNA", at positions 330 to 794 of the family's 1533-position model. The record is from RNAcentral.